UUGGAGGGCAAGUCUGGUGCCAGCAGCCGCGGUAAUUCCAGCUCCAAUAGCGUAUAUUAAAGUUGUUGCAGUUAAAAAGCUCGUAGUUGAAUUUCGGGGUUAGUAGGUUGGUCAUGCCUCUGGUAUGUACUGGUCUCACUGACUCCUCCUUCCUUAUGAACCGUAAUGCCAUUAAUUUGGUGUUGCGGGGAAUUUGGACUGUUACUUUGAAAAAAUUAGAGUGUUUAAAGCAAGCUAACGCUUGAAUACAUUAGCAUGGAAUAAUGAAAUAGGACG
RNAcentral lists this ribosomal RNA (276 nucleotides) under uncultured Glomus. RNAcentral describes it as "partial 18S ribosomal RNA". It matches the Rfam family "Eukaryotic small subunit ribosomal RNA", at positions 548 to 829 of the family's 1831-position model. The record is from RNAcentral. Lineage: Eukaryota; Fungi; Glomeromycota; Glomeromycetes; Glomerales; Glomeraceae.